Molecule: non-coding RNA, 23 nt
Filed under: Cricetulus griseus (Chinese hamster)
Lineage: Eukaryota; Metazoa; Chordata; Mammalia; Rodentia; Cricetidae
Source: RNAcentral
AUUGAGAAGGCAUGUGCGGACGA